GGGCGUUUAGCGCAGUGGUAGCGCGUAUGCUUUGCAAAAGCUCACCCUUCGGGGCGAGUAUCGUGUGUAUAAGGUCCAGGGUUCAAUCCCCUGAACGUCCA
Molecule: transfer RNA, 101 nt
Filed under: Collybia nuda
Lineage: Eukaryota; Fungi; Basidiomycota; Agaricomycetes; Agaricales; Clitocybaceae
Description: Lepista nuda tRNA
Rfam family: tRNA
About the family: Transfer RNA (tRNA) molecules are approximately 80 nucleotides in length.
Source: Rfam by way of RNAcentral